GACGAACGCUGGCGGCGUGCUUAACACAUGCAAGUCGAACGGAAAGGCCCUGCUUUUGUGGGGUGCUCGAGUGGCGAACGGGUGAGUAACACGUGAGUAACCUGCCCUUGACUUUGGGAUAACUUCACGAAACUGGGGCUAAUAUCGUAUAGGAGCUCCUGCUGCAUGGUGGGGGUUGGAAAGUUUCGGCGGUUGGGGAUGGACUCGCGGCUUAUCAGCUUGCUGGUUGGGUAGUGGCUUACCAAGGCUUUGACGGGUAGCCGGCCUGGGAGGGUGGACGGGCACAUUGGGACUGAGGGACGGACCAGACUGCUACGGGAGGCAGCAGGGGGGAAUAUGGCACAGUGGGCGGAAGUCUGUUACGGCGGCGCCGGGUGCGGGAUGACGGCCUUCGGGUUAUAAACCGCUUUCGCCUGUGACGAAGCGUGAGUGACGGUAAUGGGUAAAGAAGCACCGGCUAACUACGUG
RNAcentral lists this ribosomal RNA (468 nucleotides) under uncultured bacterium. RNAcentral's name for it is "partial 16S ribosomal RNA". It matches the Rfam family "Bacterial small subunit ribosomal RNA", at positions 28 to 507 of the family's 1533-position model. The record is from RNAcentral.